RNAcentral lists this ribosomal RNA (455 nucleotides) under uncultured organism. RNAcentral describes it as "bacterial SSU rRNA". It matches the Rfam family "Bacterial small subunit ribosomal RNA", at positions 346 to 794 of the family's 1533-position model. The record is from RNAcentral.
GUGCACCAGUCGAGAAUUUUUCUCAAUGGGGGAAACCCUGAAGGAGCGACGCCGCGUGGAGGAUGAAGGCUUUCGGGUUGUAAACUCCUGUCAUUUGGGAACAAGUUGCACACGUUAACUGCGUGGGCAUUGAUAGUACCAGAAGAGGAAGGGACGGCUAACUCUGUGCCAGCAGCCGCGGUAAUACAGAGGUCCCAAGCGUUGUUCGGAUUCAUCGGGCGUAAAGGGUGCGUAGGUGGCGCUGUAAGUCGGGUGUGAAAUUUCGGAGCUUAACUCCGAAACUGCAUUCGAUACUGCGGUGCUUGAGGACUGGAGAGGAGACUGGAAUUCAUGGUGUAGCAGUGAAAUGCGUAGAGAUCAUGAGGAAGACCAGUGGCGAAGGCGGGUCUCUGGACAGUUCCUGACACUGAGGCACGAAGGCCAGGGGAGCAAACGGGAUUAGAUACCCGCGUAGU